This 234-nucleotide ribosomal RNA is filed under the name uncultured bacterium. RNAcentral's name for it is "partial 16S ribosomal RNA". It matches the Rfam family "Bacterial small subunit ribosomal RNA", at positions 118 to 347 of the family's 1533-position model. The record is from RNAcentral.
UGAGUAACCUGCCCUUAACUCUGGGAUAAGCCUGGGAAACUGGGUCUAAUACCGGAUAUGACUCCUCAUCGCAUGGUGGGGGGUGGAAAGCUUUAUUGUGGUUUUGGAUGGACUCGUGGCCUAUCAGCUUGUUGGUGAGGUAAUGGCUCACCAAGGCGACAACGGGUAGCCGGCUGAGAGGGUGACCGGCCACACGUGGGACUGAGACACGGCCCAGACUCCGUACGGGAGCAG